UACGUAGGAGGCGAGCGUUGUCCGGAAUUACUGGGCGUAAAGAGCGCGAGGCGGCACGGUACGACCGGUGUGAAAGCCCCCGGCUCAACUGGGGAGGGUCACCGGUAACGGUCGAGCUAUGAGUGCAGGAGAGGGAAGUGGAACUCCGGGAGUAGCGGUGAAAUGCGUAGAGACCCGGAGGAACACCAGUGGCGAAGGCGGCUUCCUGGUCUGCGACUGACGCUGUGGCGCGAAAGCUAGGGGAGCAAACGGG
RNAcentral lists this ribosomal RNA (253 nucleotides) under uncultured bacterium. RNAcentral's name for it is "partial 16S ribosomal RNA". It matches the Rfam family "Bacterial small subunit ribosomal RNA", at positions 524 to 776 of the family's 1533-position model. The record is from RNAcentral.